RNAcentral lists this ribosomal RNA (420 nucleotides) under bacterium. RNAcentral describes it as "partial 16S ribosomal RNA". It matches the Rfam family "Bacterial small subunit ribosomal RNA", at positions 355 to 776 of the family's 1533-position model. The record is from RNAcentral.
UGGGGGAUAUUGCACAAUGGGCGAAAGCCUGAUGCAGCGACGCCGCGUGGGGGAUGAAGGCUUUCGGGUUGUAAACCUCUUUCGCUAUCGAACAAGGCCCGCUUAGGGUGGGUUGAGGGUAGGUGGAGAAGAAGCGCCGGCUAACUACGUGCCAGCAGCCGCGGUAAUACGUAGGGCGCGAGCGUUGUCCGGAAUUAUUGGGCGUAAAGGGCUUGUAGGCGGCUUAUUGCGCCUGCUGUGAAAACGCGGGGCUUAACUUCGCGCGUGCAGUGGGUACGGGCAGGCUUGAGUGUGGUAGGGGUGACUGGAAUUCCAGGUGUAGCGGUGGAAUGCGCAGAUAUCUGGAGGAACACCGAUGGCGAAGGCAGGUCACUGGGCCAUUACUGACGCUGAGGAGCGAAAGCAUGGGUAGCGAACAGG